RNAcentral lists this ribosomal RNA (253 nucleotides) under uncultured bacterium. RNAcentral's name for it is "partial 16S ribosomal RNA". It matches the Rfam family "Bacterial small subunit ribosomal RNA", at positions 524 to 776 of the family's 1533-position model. The record is from RNAcentral.
UACGGGGGGGGCAAGCGUUGUUCGGAAUUACUGGGCGUAAAGGGCGCGUAGGCGGCUCUUUAAGUCGGGGGUGAAAUCCUGGAGCUCAACUCCAGAACUGCCUUCGAUACUGAAGAGCUCGAGUCCAGGAGAGGUGAGUGGAACUGCGAGUGUAGAGGUGAAAUUCGUAGAUAUUCGCAAGAACACCAGUGGCGAAGGCGGCUCACUGGCCCGGUACUGACGCUGAGGUGCGAAAGCGUGGGGAGCAAACAGG